Molecule: ribosomal RNA, 467 nt
Filed under: uncultured bacterium
Lineage: Bacteria
Description: partial 16S ribosomal RNA
Rfam family: Bacterial small subunit ribosomal RNA
Source: RNAcentral
CGACCGCUGGCGGCGUGCUUAACACAUGCAAGUCGACCGGAAAGGCCCUGCUUUUGUGGGGUGCUCGAGUGGCGAACGGGUGAGUAACACGUGAGUAACCUGCCCUUGACUUUGGGAUAACUUCAGGAAACUGGGGCUAAUACCGGAUAGGAGCUCCUGCUGCAUGGUGGGGGUUGGAAAGUUUCGGCGGUUGGGGAUGGACUCGCGGCUUAUCAGCUUGUUGGUGGGGUAGUGGCUUACCAAGGCUUUGACGGGUAGCCGGCCUGAGAGGGUGACCGGCCACAUUGGGACUGAGAUACGGCCCAGACUCCUACGGGAGGCAGCAGUGGGGAAUAUUGCACAAUGGGCGGAAGCCUGAUGCAGCAACGCCGCGUGCGGGAUGACGGCCUUCGGGUUGUAAACCGCUUUCGCCUGUGACGAAGCGUGAGUGACGGUAAUGGGUAAAGAAGCACCGGCUAACUACGUGC